UACGUAGGGUGCAGGCGUUAAUCGGAAUUACUGGGCGUAAAGCGUGCGCAGGCGGUUUGCUAAGACAGAUGUGAAAUCCCCGGGCUCAACCUAGGAACUGCACUCGAAACUGCGUUUCUUGAGUAUCGGAGAGGAAAGCGGAAUACCUGGUGUAGAGGUGAAAUUCGUAGAUAUCAGGUGGAACACCAGUGGCGAAGGCGGCUUUCUGGACGAUAACUGACGCUGAGACGCGAAAGCGUGGGGAGCAAACAGG
RNAcentral lists this ribosomal RNA (253 nucleotides) under uncultured bacterium. RNAcentral's name for it is "partial 16S ribosomal RNA". It matches the Rfam family "Bacterial small subunit ribosomal RNA", at positions 524 to 776 of the family's 1533-position model. The record is from RNAcentral.